RNAcentral lists this ribosomal RNA (1509 nucleotides) under Triticum aestivum (bread wheat). RNAcentral's name for it is "partial small subunit ribosomal RNA". Lineage: Eukaryota; Viridiplantae; Streptophyta; Magnoliopsida; Poales; Poaceae. The record is from RNAcentral.
AUGCUUCGGAGCCCAGCCGCCGCUCUGCUCCGCCGCCUGGCCCCUCGCCUCACCGGCUGCAGUGGGGGAGCCGGCCCAUCCACGCGUCGGACCCUCCCUCCUUACAUAUCCUCCUCCUCCUCCUUCCUCGCGCGCUUCUCGUCCACGCCGACGUCCCCGCCGCUACCGUCCUCCGUCGGUGCCCACGACGAUGAGGCGGAGGAUGACAAGCUCCAGGGAUCAUCAAGCGAUUCCGGCGCCAGGCUCAGCAUUUCUGUGGACCGCGCCGGUCUAUACAGCCCCCCAGAGCACUCUCACGAGCCGUCGUCGGACUCUAACCUUGUCAAGCACCUUAAGAGCAUCAUAAAGUUCCGGAGUGGGCCGAUCAGCAUAGCUGAGUACAUGGAGGAGGUGCUUACAAACCCACAGUCUGGGUACUACAUGAAUCGCGAUGUGUUUGGGGAGUCUGGGGAUUUCAUCACCUCACCAGAGGUCAGCCAGAUGUUUGGAGAGCUGAUUGGUGUGUGGGCGAUGUGUCUGUGGGAGCAAAUGGGGCAACCAGAGAAGGUGAAUUUGAUUGAGCUUGGCCCAGGACGAGGAACUCUCUUGGCAGAUUUACUUCGUGGCUCAGCAAAGUUUGUUAAUUUCACUAAGGCGCUCAACAUUAACUUGGUAGAAUGUAGCCCUACAUUGCAAAAGGUGCAGUACAAUACUCUGAAAUGUGAAGAUGAAUCUGUUGGUGAUGAAAAAAGGACAGUUAGCAAGCUUUGUGGAGCCCCUGUUUAUUGGCACGCCUCCCUCGAACAGGUUCCUUCAGGAUUCCCCACCAUAAUUGUUGCUCAUGAAUUCUUUGAUGCUUUACCAAUCCAUCAAUUUCAGAAAGGGUCACGCGGCUGGUGUGAAAAGAUGGUGGAUCUCGCAGGAGACUCAUCCAGGUUUCGCUUUGUUCUGUCUCCGCAGCCUACAGCCUCUUUGAUUUUCCUCUCCAAACGUUGUGAAUGGGCUAGUCCUGAGGAGCUCGAGAAGGUUGAGCAGAUUGAAGUCUGCCCAAAAGCAAUGGAGAUUAGCGAACAGAUCGCAGACCGAAUUAGCUCAGAUGGCGGAGGUGCUCUGAUCAUUGACUAUGGCAAAAAUGGAAUAGUGUCUGAUAGUCUUCAGGCAAUCCGCAAACACAAAUUCGUUCACAUAUUAGACGACCCUGGGUCUGCUGAUCUCAGUGCCUAUGUUGAUUUUGCUGCGAUCAAGCACUCUGCCAAGGAAGCUUCAGAUGAUAUUUCCGUCCAUGGGCCAAUGACUCAAUCCCAGCUGCUGGGUUCUCUUGGUAUCAACUUCCGGGUGGAAGCCCUUAUGCAAAACUGUGACGAGAAGCAGGCGGAGUCUCUGAGGACAGGCUACUGGCGUCUAGUCGGAGACGGAGAAGCCCCAUUCUGGGAAGGGCCUGAUGACCAAACGCCCAUCGGCAUGGGCAGCAGGUACCUGGCCAUGGCCAUUGUCAACAAGAAGCAAGGCUCGCCUGUUCCAUUCGAGUGA